RNAcentral lists this unclassified non-coding RNA (90 nucleotides) under Pseudomonas thivervalensis. The record is from RNAcentral. Lineage: Bacteria; Pseudomonadati; Pseudomonadota; Gammaproteobacteria; Pseudomonadales; Pseudomonadaceae.
UGUGGGAGCGAGCUUGCUCGCGAUGGCGGUGGGUCAGUUUGCAUAAGGAUUGACUGAUGCACCGCUAUCGCGAGCAAGCUUGCUCCCACA